AUUGAACGCUGGCGGCAUGCCUUACACAUGCAAGUCGAACGGCAGCACGGGUGCUUGCACCUGUUGGCGAGUGGCGAACGGGUGAGUAAUACAUCGGAACAUGUCCUGUAGUGGGGGAUAGCCCGGCGAAAGCCGGAUUAAUACCGCAUACGAUCUACGGAUGACAGCGGGGGACCUUCGGGCCUCGCGCUAUAGGGUUGGCCGAUGGCUGAUUAGCUAGUUGGUGGGGUAAAGGCCUACCAAGGCGACGAUCAGUAGCUGGUCUGAGAGGACGACCAGCCACACGGGGACUGGGACACGGCCCAGACUCCUACGGGAGGCAGCAGUGGGGAAUUUUGGCCAACGGUCGAAAGCCUGAUCCAGCAAUGCCGCGUGUGUGAAGAAGGCCUUCGGGUUGUAAAGCACUUUUGUCCGGAAAGAAAUCCUUGGCCCUAAUACGGUCGGGGGAUGACGGUACCGGAAGAAUAAGCACCGGCUAACUACGUG
This 486-nucleotide ribosomal RNA is filed under the name uncultured bacterium. Its description in RNAcentral is "partial 16S ribosomal RNA". It matches the Rfam family "Bacterial small subunit ribosomal RNA", at positions 30 to 507 of the family's 1533-position model. The record is from RNAcentral.